RNAcentral lists this ribosomal RNA (253 nucleotides) under uncultured bacterium. RNAcentral describes it as "partial 16S ribosomal RNA". It matches the Rfam family "Bacterial small subunit ribosomal RNA", at positions 524 to 776 of the family's 1533-position model. The record is from RNAcentral.
UACGUAGGGUGCGAGCGUUAAUCGGAAUUACUGGGCGUAGAGCGUGCGCAGGCGGUUUUGUAAGCCAGAUGUGAAAGCCCCGGGCUUAACCUGGGAAUGGCAUUUGGGACUGCAAGGCUUGAGUGCGGCAGAGGAGACUGGAAUUCCUGGUGUAGCAGUGAAAUGCGUAGAUAUCAGGAGGAAUACCGAUGGCGAAGGCAGGUCUCUGGGCUGACACUGACGCUCAUGCACGAAAGCGUGGGGAGCAAACAGG